UGUGAAAUAGUUGUUAUUAUAACACCUCAAUAGUCACACAUUUAGAUGGAAAAAAGAUUAAAUUAGAAAUAUACAAGAAUCAUGAUACGUGAAUAAUAAUAAUUAAGUUUAAGUAUUUUGUGCCUGUAGUUUGGAUUGAAGUAAUUAUUAGUUGCUAGUGAACUGAAUCGCUGUAUCUAGUAAUAGAGUCGAUGACCAGUCAAAAGUAUAAAUUGUAGCGUGUCCAAAUU
This 230-nucleotide long non-coding RNA is filed under the name Ananas comosus (pineapple). RNAcentral's name for it is "long non-coding RNA (ACOM_LNC030112)". Lineage: Eukaryota; Viridiplantae; Streptophyta; Magnoliopsida; Poales; Bromeliaceae. The record is from RNAcentral.